Long non-coding RNA from Tachysurus fulvidraco (yellow catfish), 709 nucleotides. RefSeq lists it as uncharacterized. Lineage: Eukaryota; Metazoa; Chordata; Actinopteri; Siluriformes; Bagridae. The record is from RefSeq and is a predicted model, not a curated record. The transcript is spliced from 2 exons.
AAGAAACAUUAGCCUGGUGUUUGUUAUACUAAAUACUACAUUAUACCUAUCUGUUGUUGAUUAUUUUCCUAUAGCAGGGCAACUUACUUCUCUCUGGUCAUUCAGGAAAGCUUCAGUCAAACAGAAGGACAAAAAAACUUCUUGGGCAAGAGCUGAAAUGCAAAAGAAGCUUGGGAAACUUCUCAUCUGGACUUGGAGGUGCAGUGUGAAGGCCCAGUGUAAACAGUCGAGGUAAAUCUCUAACUCAUGCUCGCCAUUCCUCUCCAAAUCUCGCCGACGUGCUUGAGGGGGAAGUUCACAUCAGGCUUCAGACACCUCAGACGGCUGCUCUUACUUUACAGCUUACGACUGCUUCAUUUGGUAACUGUGCCAUCAACCUCAUAGUGGAUGAGAAUGGGAUUUUAGUCACAUAUAACCAGAUAGGUAUCAGAUCAACUUGCAGUAUAUGACAACCAGCUGAAGUAAUAUUACAUAACAAGAUGCACAAUCACCCUUCCCAUGUUUGGAGAUGGUCCCAGGCCUGUGUGCACAGCUGUGAGGGAGAAUACGGUGACGCAUCCUAAAAUAAACGAGGAAUUUUUCCUGUUAUAUUAAAUCUGAUUUGUAAGAUGUGGGAUUUUCUUGUUGCUUAGUGGAAUUCAACUAAGUACACAAGGAAGGUUAAUUUUAGUACAUUUUUAAAGAAAUAAAUAAACUAUCAAACUAUGUA